GGGCUGGGGCUCAUUGGUAGAGUGCUCGUCUCACAUGUGUGAGGCCCUGGGUUCAAUCCUCAGCACCACA
This 70-nucleotide transfer RNA is filed under the name Marmota monax (woodchuck). Its description in RNAcentral is "tRNA.Val". The record is from RNAcentral. Lineage: Eukaryota; Metazoa; Chordata; Mammalia; Rodentia; Sciuridae.